Molecule: long non-coding RNA, 4548 nt
Organism: Solanum pennellii
Lineage: Eukaryota; Viridiplantae; Streptophyta; Magnoliopsida; Solanales; Solanaceae
Exons: 4
Source: RefSeq, a predicted model, not a curated record
UUUCCAUUAUCGAUGAGGGACUAUUGCCUUUUUCAAUAAAGCAUUAGAGGACUUUUCAAGUUCCCAACCUUUCAAGUUCUAAACUUUUCAAAUUCCUCUCCUUCCCUCUAUUUCCCAUCACUUCUUUCUACAUACCCAACAUUUGUGACUAUGGACAAGUCCUUUAGCUAAAAGAUUAAUUUUAUUUUUGGUAUAAAUUGAUAAAUAAAUUAGAAAAAUGGUCAUCAUUCGGAUACAUUUUUAUGAUGACCAUGUUUCUAGUUUUUUUCAUCAAAUAUACCAAUCUUCUGCAAGCUCUACUUCGAUGAAAAUCGUCUUGUCCCUCUUCGUUGCAAUUUGUAGCAUUGAAUUACCAGAGACCCACUUCACUAUAAUGAAGAAAAUUUCUCAUGUUUAGUUCAGAUGAUUAAAACUGAUAUACAGAUAUGACAGUUGUUAGUGUAAUUCUUUCCGUUUUAGAAAUAAAUAUAUACAUUAACAAACAAAGUUUGAUGAUUAGCUCGGAGAAAAAAAAUACCCAUUAACUAAAAAGCAAGUUCGCUUAACACAAAAUUGAAGAAAUACCAAAAUUAUAAAUUUGCAAACACUUCUAGCACCCAUUGACCUAAAAACAUGAAUGUCAUUUUGAUUAACACUGAAAGAUGUCAUAAAAAUUAAAAUUAGCAUUAUUAGUCUAACCUAGAUGGAAAUCACUACCUUCUUUGAUAGAAAGCUGAAAAUUUUUGCUUAGCUAUAACAUCAACAUAGAAGAGAAAAUUGGGGGUAACGAAAAAAGAGAGGAUUGUUGAGUGUGUGUGAGCAAAUUCACAAGUAACUGAUUGGAAGUAAAACUUUAUUGAAUUGGACUCUUCUAUUAAAAAAUCUUAUUAGAAAAAUCUUUCUAUUUUUCGUUACCCUCAAUACUUUAUUUUUUGUUACCCCUAAUUCUCUCUUUUUUUCAUUACCCCAAUUCUCUUUUCUAUGGUUGUUGUUAUCGUUGAACAAAACUUUUCACUUUCUAUUGAAGAAUAUUAUGAUUUACAUCUACAUUGAACCAGUAAUGCAAAUUCUUUUCUUGUUUUGAUUUUUAUGAUAUAUUUCGGUUGAUCAAAACGACAUUCAUGUUUUUAGGUAUUGGGUGCUAGAAAUGUUUGAAAAUCUAUAAUAUUGUUAUGAUUUUUGGGAGUUCUUUAGAAUUUUGUGUUAAGAGAAUUUCCUUCUCUUGUGUUUUGGUAAUAGGUAUUUCAUUCUCCGGGCUAAUCAUCAAAUUUUGAUUUUCUUUGUUUAGUUAAUAUAUAUAUUUUUUCUGCUAUUUUUGUAAAUUGAAAAAAAUUACACUAAUAAUUGUCAUAUUUGUAUUUUAGUUUUGAUCAUUUGAACUAAAUAUGAGAAGUUUCUUGAUUAUAGUGAUGUGGGUCAAUGGUAAUUCAAUUUCAACGAACUCUACAAAUUGCGACGAAGAGGUGCAAGAAGAUUUUCAACAAAGAAGAAUUUGCAGAAGAUUGGUGCUUUGAAUGUAAAGAUGAAAGAGAGUUCAUGAUUUGUGACUCUGGGCAAGUCCUUUUGCCAAAAAAUUAAUUUUAUUUUUGGUAUAAUUGAUAAAAUAAACUGAAAAUGGUCAUCAUUUGGAAACAUUUUUAUGAUGAUCAUGUUUUUAGUUUAUUUCAUCAAAUAUACCAAAAAUAAAAUUGAUUUUUUUUAGCAAAAUGACUUGCCCAUUGUCACAAAUCAUGAGCUCUCAUCCAUCUUUACAUUCAAAACACCAAUCUUCUGCAAGCUCUACUUCGAUGAAAAUCGUCUUGCCCCUCUUCGUUGCAAUUUGUAGCAUUGAAUUACCAGAGACCCACUUCACUAUAAUGAAGAAAAUUUCUCAUGUUCAGUUCAGAUGAUUAAAACUGAUAUGACAGUUAGCGUAAUUCUUUCCCUAUUUUAGAAAAAAAUAGCAGAAAAUAUAUGCUUGAUGAUUAGCCCGGAGAAUGAAUACCCAUUAACAAAACACAAUAAAAAAGCAGGUUCUCUUAACACAAUUAUGAAGAUAUACCAAGAAUCAUAACAAAAUUAUAGAUGUUCAAACACUUCUAGCACCCAUUGACCUAAAAACAUGAAUAUCAUUUUGAUCAAUCAAAAUAUGUCAUAAACAAGAAAAAAAAUUAACAUUAUUAGUCCAACCUAAACGCAAUUUGCUACUUUCUUUAAUAAAAAGCUGAAAUUUUUUGAUUAGCGAUUACAUCAAUCAUAAAAGAGAAUUGGAGGUAAUGAAAAAAAAAUUGAGAGUAACGAAAAAAGAGAGGAUUGUUAAGUGUAUUUACUAUUCAUAAGUAAAUGAUUGUUGUAUCCAACAAAAGAUUCCUCCAAUCCAAACAUAACUUUGUUGAAUUGGACUCUUCUAUUAAAAGACCUUAUUAGAAAAAUCUUUCUUUUUUCGUUACGCCCAAUUCUCUCUUUUUUUGUACCCCCAAUUCUCGUUUCUAUGGUUUUUGUUAUCGCGAUAGAAAAAUUUUCAGCUUUCUAUUGAAGAAUGUAGUGAUUUGCAUCUAUGUUGGACUAGUAAUGCUUAUUUUUUUUCUUGUUUUUAUGAUAUCUUUUUGUUGAUCAAAACGAUAUUCAUGUUUUUUAGGGCAAUGGGUGCUGGAAGUGUUUGGAAAUCUAUAAUUUUGUUAUGAUUCUUGGGAGUUCUUAGAAUUUUGUGUUAAGAGAACUUGUUUUUUCUGUGUUUUGUUAAUGGGUGUUUCAUUCUCUAGGCUAAUCAUCAAGCUUUGAUUUUCUUUGUUUGUUAAUAUAUAUAUUUUUUUUUGAAUUUUUUCUAAAAGGAAAAAGAUUACACUAACAAUUGUCAUAUCUGCAUUUUAGUUUUUAUCAUUUGAAUUAAACAUGGGAGUUUGAUUCUAGUGAAGUGGGUCUCUGGUAUUUCAAUUUUAAGAAACUCAUCUGCUACAAAUUGCGAUGAAGAGGGGUAAGAAGAUUUUCAACAAAGAGAAUUUGUAGAAUAUUUAUUGGUGCUUUGAAUGUAAAAACGGAGGAGCGCUCAUGAUUUGUGACUAGUGCUGGCAAAAUGAGCUCAUAUUUUGAUAACCCGCGCAACUUGCUCAUAUUUUAAUGGGUUGGGUGAGUGACUUUUUACGUGGGUAGUAAAAUAUAGGUUGAUAUCCAUAUUCAACCCAUAAACUAUGGAUUAGCCAAAUGGAUUAAGCUUCUAUUAUUCACUCAAAAUUCAUGUAAAUAUGGGUAAACUAGUAUUUUACCCAACCAAUUUAGUACCCAAUCCAUUUUUACCCAUAUCACUUAUGGGCGGGUUGAAUUAUUACCCAUUUUCAACCCACCUAAAUUUGACCAAACCCGCCCAUUUGCCAAAUCUAUACUUUACAUAUUUGUUAGUUGCUUACAGACUCCAUCCAAAUCUGCCGAUCAUGAUGUUCGUCUAUUUCUUCUAAGGUUAGGAAAUAUGACAACUAAUGAGAAAGUGCUAAGAUCAAGCAAUGUUCGAACGCAGAGCCUUUCUUUCUCGAUCGUCCCUCUUAUUAAGCGGAUUCCGAUUCAUGCAGUCCUUCUCUGCUGCAUUACGAUCUGCAGGGGUAUUUGAAGUGCUUGAUGUUGGUUGUGGUGUUGCAAGUUUCUCUGCCUAUCUUCUUCCUUUAAGUAUAGAAACAACGUCCUUUGCUCCUAAAGAUGAUCAUGAGAAACAAAUUCAGUUUGUUUUGGAACGAAGAAUCGGUGCAAUAGUAUCUGCUAUAGCGCCAAAGCAGCUGCCAUAUCCUAGCAACUAUUUUGAGAUGUCGAGUUGAUUGGCAUGAAAAUGGUAUUGAUCGAGAGAAGUUCUUAGCAGAUACAAUCUAUUGGCAAGAUCAAGUUCGUCAUUACUGGAGACUGAUUGAUGUAAACGAGAAAGAAAUAUGUAAUGUAAUGGACAUGAGUGCUUCACUUGGUGGAUUUGCAGUCGCUCUUAGUACAUGACCGGUCUGGGUGAUGAAUGUAGUUCCUGUAACAAUGAACAACACCCUUUCUGCCGUUUAUGAUAGGGGUCUUAUAGGGACUUUUCAUGACUCGUAGGGUGUUAUGAAUUGGUUAUACCCUAGAAAGAUGCUGACUGGUUUUUGUAGGUGUGAGCCAUUUCUCCAUACCCACGCUCUUAUGAUUUGUUGCAUGCCAACAAUCUUCUUUCUCACUAUAAAGGCCGUGAUGAAGGUUGUUUGCUUGAGGAUAUUAUGCUGGAAAUGGAUCGUGUCCUACGACCUCAGGGAUUUAUCAUAUCAGAGACGAAGAAUCCAUCAUAUCGCGAAUACAAGAUGUUCUUUGGGACGUCCAAUUACAUUAUCUAGAAGACGAUCAGAAGAAAAAGGGGUCAGUUUUAUUAUGCAGGAAAAGGUUUUGGCUCCAUUGCCUAAUGCAGUUUUUCAUUCAAAAUUCUAUCACUGAAAGGUGAAUAUCCAAGUUAAAUUCUUUUAGAGUAAACAAAGUUGUAAAAUUGAUAUAUGUGAAAACAAUUAUGCUACUAUUAUAACAUAAAGAAAAUACUGAAUUAUUUUUUGUCACUAUAAAGAAUUAGAAAUGCAAAAUUAUAGUCCAUUGCAA